UACGGAGGGUGCAAGCGUUAUCCGGAUUUAUUGGGUUUAAAGGGUCCGUAGGCGGAUCUGUAAGUCAGUGGUGAAAUCUCACAGCCUAACUGUGAAACUGCCAUUGAUACUGCAGGUCUUGAGUGUUAUUGAAGUAGCUGGAAUAAGUAGUGUAGCGGUGAAAUGCAUAGAUAUUACUUAGAACACCAAUUGCGAAGGCAGGUUACUAAGCAACAACUGACGCUGAUGGACGAAAGCGUGGGGAGCGAACAGG
RNAcentral lists this ribosomal RNA (253 nucleotides) under uncultured bacterium. RNAcentral's name for it is "partial 16S ribosomal RNA". It matches the Rfam family "Bacterial small subunit ribosomal RNA", at positions 524 to 776 of the family's 1533-position model. The record is from RNAcentral.